CUGUGAGCUCGAUGAGUAGGGCGGGACACGUGGUAUCCUGUCUGAAUAUGGGGGGACCAUCCUCCAAGGCUAAAUACUCCUGACUGACCGAUAGUGAACCAGUACCGUGAGGGAAAGGCGAAAAGAACCCCGGCGAGGGGAGUGAAAAAGAACCUGAAACCGUGUACGUACAAGCAGUGGGAGCACGCUUAGGCGUGUGACUGCGUACCUUUUGUAUAAUGGGUCAGCGACUUAUAUUCUGUAGCAAGGUUAACCGAAUAGGGGAGCCGAAGGGAAACCGAGUCUUAACUGGGCGUUAAGUUGCAGGGUAUAGACCCGAAACCCGGUGAUCUAGCCAUGGGCAGGUUGAAGGUUGGGUAACACUAACUGGAGGACCGAACCGACUAAUGUUGAAAAAUUAGCGGAUGACUUGUGGCUGGGGGUGAAAGGCCAAUCAAACCGGGAGAUAGCUGGUUCUCCCCGAAAGCUAUUUAGGUAGCGCCUCGUGAAUUCAUCUCCGGGGGUAGAGCACUGUUUCGGCAAGGGGGUCAUCCCGACUUACCAACCCGAUGCAAACUGCGAAUACCGGAGAAUGUUAUCACGGGAGACACACGGCGGGUGCUAACGUCCGUCGUGAAGAGGGAAACAACCCAGACCGCCAGCUAAGGUCCCAAAGUCAUGGUUAAGUGGGAAACGAUGUGGGAAGGCCCAGACAGCCAGGAUGUUGGCUUAGAAGCAGCCAUCAUUUAAAGAAAGCGUAAUAGCUCACUGGUCGAGUCGGCCUGCGCGGAAGAUGUAACGGGGCUAAACCAUGCACCGAAGCUGCGGCAGCGACGCUUAUGCGUUGUUGGGUAGGGGAGCGUUCUGUAAGCCUGCGAAGGUGUGCUGUGAGGCAUGCUGGAGGUAUCAGAAGUGCGAAUGCUGACAUAAGUAACGAUAAAGCGGGUGAAAAGCCCGCUCGCCGGAAGACCAAGGGUUCCUGUCCAACGUUAAUCGGGGCAGGGUGAGUCGACCCCUAAGGCGAGGCCGAAAGGCGUAGUCGAUGGGAAACAGGUUAAUAUUCCUGUACUUGGUGUUACUGCGAAGGGGGGACGGAGAAGGCUAUGUUGGCCGGGCGACGGUUGUCCCGGUUUAAGCGUGUAGGCUGGUUUUCCAGGCAAAUCCGGAAAAUCAAGGCUGAGGCGUGAUGACGAGGCACUACGGUGCUGAAGCAACAAAUGCCCUGCUUCCAGGAAAAGCCUCUAAGCAUCAGGUAACAUCAAAUCGUACCCCAAACCGACACAGGUGGUCAGGUAGAGAAUACCAAGGCGCUUGAGAGAACUCGGGUGAAGGAACUAGGCAAAAUGGUGCCGUAACUUCGGGAGAAGGCACGCUGAUAUGUAGGUGAAGUCCCUCGCGGAUGGAGCUGAAAUCAGUCGAAGAUACCAGCUGGCUGCAACUGUUUAUUAAAAACACAGCACUGUGCAAACACGAAAGUGGACGUAUACGGUGUGACGCCUGCCCGGUGCCGGAAGGUUAAUUGAUGGGGUCAGCGCAAGCGAAGCUCUUGAUCGAAGCCCCGGUAAACGGCGGCCGUAACUAUAACGGUCCUAAGGUAGCGAAAUUCCUUGUCGGGUAAGUUCCGACCUGCACGAAUGGCGUAAUGAUGGCCAGGCUGUCUCCACCCGAGACUCAGUGAAAUUGAACUCGCUGUGAAGAUGCAGUGUACCCGCGGCAAGACGGAAAGACCCCGUGAACCUUUACUAUAGCUUGACACUGAACAUUGAGCCUUGAUGUGUAGGAUAGGUGGGAGGCUUUGAAGUGUGGACGCCAGUCUGCAUGGAGCCGACCUUGAAAUACCACCCUUUAAUGUUUGAUGUUCUAACGUGGACCCGUAAUCCGGGUUGCGGACAGUGUCUGGUGGGUAGUUUGACUGGGGCGGUCUCCUCCUAAAGAGUAACGGAGGAGCACGAAGGUUGGCUAAUCCUGGUCGGACAUCAGGAGGUUAGUGCAAUGGCAUAAGCCAGCUUGACUGCGAGCGUGACGGCGCGAGCAGGUGCGAAAGCAGGUCAUAGUGAUCCGGUGGUUCUGAAUGGAAGGGCCAUCGCUCAACGGAUAAAAGGUACUCCGGGGAUAACAGGCUGAUACCGCCCAAGAGUUCAUAUCGACGGCGGUGUUUGGCACCUCGAUGUCGGCUCAUCACAUCCUGGGGCUGAAGUAGGUCCCAAGGGUAUGGCUGUUCGCCAUUUAAAGUGGUACGCGAGCUGGGUUUAGAACGUCGUGAGACAGUUCGGUCCCUAUCUGCCGUGGGCGCUGGAGAACUGAGGGGGGCUGCUCCUAGUACGAGAGGACCGGAGUGGACGCAUCACUGGUGUUCGGGUUGUCAUGCCAAUGGCACUGCCCGGUAGCUAAAUGCGGAAGAGAUAAGUGCUGAAAGCAUCUAAGCACGAAACUUGCCCCGAGAUGAGUUCUCCCUGACUCCUUGAGAGUCCUGAAGGAACGUUGAAGACGACGACGUUGAUAGGCCGGGUGUGUAAGCGCAGCGAUGCGUUGAGCUAACCGGUACUAAUGAACCGUGAGGCUUAACCUUACAACGCCGAAGCUGUU
RNAcentral lists this ribosomal RNA (2565 nucleotides) under Escherichia coli. RNAcentral describes it as "partial 23S ribosomal RNA". It matches the Rfam family "Bacterial large subunit ribosomal RNA", at positions 397 to 2925 of the family's 2925-position model. Lineage: Bacteria; Pseudomonadati; Pseudomonadota; Gammaproteobacteria; Enterobacterales; Enterobacteriaceae. The record is from RNAcentral.